This is a long non-coding RNA of Rhinolophus ferrumequinum (greater horseshoe bat), 3301 nucleotides long. RefSeq lists it as uncharacterized. The transcript is spliced from 2 exons. Lineage: Eukaryota; Metazoa; Chordata; Mammalia; Chiroptera; Rhinolophidae. The record is from RefSeq and is a predicted model, not a curated record.
AAAAUCAAAGUGUCAGCAGGGCUGUGUUCCUUCUGGAGGCUCUGAGGGAACACUUUGUUUCCUUGCGUUUUUCAGCUUCUAGAAGCCACCCGCGUCUCUCCUCACGGCCCUGCAUCACUUUGACCAUCUGUGGUCACUUCUCCUUCUAUCACCCCCUUGCCUCCCUCUUAUGUAGAUCCUCGAGAUUACAUUGGGCCCAUCUGGAAAAUCCAGGACCAUCUCCACAUCUCAAGAGCCUUAAUUUAAUCACAUCCACAGAGUCCCUCUUACUGCCAAAGAUCACAUGUUCACACGUUCUGGGGACUGGGAUACAGACAUUUUUGAGAAACCAUUAUUCUGUCUACCACAGAGAGAGUGUUUAAAAAGGGGAGGGUUUACUAUUGUUAUUCAGGAAUGGUGAGGGCAACAGAUCAAGAGACAAUUGCCAUUGAAAAGAUAGUUUGUUACAGUUCCCAAGAGAAAGGGACAGCCAUGCUACACAGGGCCACACGGGGAAACACCAGGGUUGGUCAGGAGGCAGGAGUGAGGGGAAUACAUGGGCGAGAGCUUUAUUGUGGUUCCUGUAGAAAGGAACGGGCACGGCAAGAUAAGCAGGUUUAGGUCUAGCUAGUUUGAGUCCUUUAGGCAGGUUCUGGGGAGUAUGGACUGUCCCAAGUUGUCUGGUACCUGGUUUGGGAACAUUAGGACAGGGGAAUAUGGCUCAGGACUGUAGGGGCCAUAAAGGUAGUUGGGGUCUGGGCUGUGCAUUGGUUAGUUUGCACAGGAGAGGUGCACUUACUGGCAGGCGAAUGGUUGACUAUGUCUAGCAACUGACUAACCCUGAGGGGAACAGUCUCUACAGUGUCUGCAGGGCCCCAGACGUCAAAACAUCAGAAACACAUGGUAAAUACAGAGGGUGACAGAGACCCAGAAAAUGGGGUGAAAGCAGAGUAGGAUUCCCUGAGAAACAUGAGGUCCCUGGCUUCUCAUUUAUUUCUCUUCCAUGAGACUCCCAAAUCCUCUCUUUAUCUAUUCCAAGCUGUUGGCAGCUGGAGCUGGAACUCCGAUGGGAGACAUUCCGAAGAGAGAGUAAUCAUUUUAAAACCUUUGCACACGCAGAUCAAAAUGGAAACCAUUUUCAGAUUAAGUAUAAAGGGUCAAUAGGAUUCUGUCUAUUUGAGACUAGAAUUAAAGGUCAGGCAGGAGGCAGGGAGGGGUGGCAUUUGCUCCAGGGCAGAGAUCACUCCAUUCUUGCCCACGUGUGCAGCGCAAUGAACUUUAGACACCCUGAGCCUCCUUCCUCGUUCCUUUUGGAACUUGAAGUCUAUUGGGGGAGACAGUAACCAAGGGGACACACUUGCAAACAAAGAAUUGCAAAUUGUGCAAGGCAUCCUGGGCAAGGGAACGGGUCUCCUUAGAUAAGGGAGUCCGCGGCAGGGUCCCGGAAACUGGUUGUAUAAGUGUGUCCAUAUAAUAGCUAUUGCUUGCUGACCUCAAAUUUCUGGCCAGGAGCCAUGUCAUUCAUGUGUGUUAUUAUCAAAUCCUUCAAAAGAUGUUGGAAGGCUACUACCAUUUUAUGUCCGUUUUCCAGAUUGGGUCACUGAGUUCAGCUCCAUUUUCCAAGAGAAGCAGAGUUGAUGUUUGCUGUCAUUGUCACUGGGAUUCAGAUGGGGGGUUUGGGGGCAUGGCACAUGUAUCUUCCCAGGACCCACCCUUGGACAUUCCCAGGUCUGAGAAUACCUAUUGUUAAUGAGCCUCCCAGAUAAUUUUUAUCAUCGGGGUCUCCUUUACACUUUUUCCCUGUGUGACUGUUAAACUUGACCUGCCCUGUGUCCAGGUAUGUGUUGGUAUACCAGCCCUGGAGAGAUGGGGGCAGUUCUAAUUAAUGUAGCCCCUGCCAAUUUCCUUCAUCAGCUGUUGGUGCAAACACGUGUGACAUCCGGGGCGGCUGCAGCUACACCGGGACAAGAGGAGUGCAGCCUCUACACCUACCAUGGAAGAGCUAGAUGGGAGAACCUGGUUCCCUGAAGGUCUUGGAGCCACCCUGUGUUGGGACUUCUUGUUCUGGGUGAUAAUACACUUUUCUCUAUUAUUUAAGCUUAGGUUUGGGUUUUCUGUCUUGUGGCUGGAAGUAUCCUGCUGAAGGUGUGUGUGUGUGUGUGUGUGUGUGUGUGUGUGUGUGCAGAGGACUCAUCAGGAGAGGGCAGAAAGAUGCCAGGAUGGAGCCACUCAGAAAUGAUACUUUGGUUGAAUCUUACAGAAUGAGGACUUAGGCAGGUAAAGUAGGGAUAGAGUACUAGAGACAAUAGUAUAUAUAAACAGAAGCAUGGAUUUGUCCCAGAAAGUGUAUUUGGAUGGAACUGGAGUACACAGCAGGACACAUUGCAGUGUAAGGUAAGGCCAAAAAGGCGGGUGGGGCCUCCCACUGAGGCUGAGGGGCUGGAACCCGAUCCUGGGGCGGGGUCGGCUCUGGGAUCCUUCUGUGGCUGUGUCGGGAAGGCGCAAGGGGCCAAGCUGUCAGGAAGGAGGCUGAAGCUGAGAUGGCCAGAAGCCAGGGAUCAGGGAGAGUAAAUGCUCCUGGUAUCAGAGCUGAUCAGCUCUGUGAGGACUCUGCUGCCCCUCAACCCAGCCAUGGCGAAGACACAGUCUUUGAGGCAUCACUGGUCCCACAAAAGGCAGAGAAAGGUCUCGAGGACCACCCAAGCCCCAUAAACCAACAGAAGCUGGGCCCAGAGCAGGAGGCAGGAUUCCAGCAGCUGUCAGAUGCAGGAUGCUAGAGCGGCCCCAAUCUGGGGCAGCGAGGCCAAACUGUCUAGGAAGGCAGGCACACAGCAGACCCUCUCCGGAGGCAGGGGGCUUUCCUAAGCUAGGCUGACCCUGUGAGCACCCGACGACAUGAGAAGGCAGGUCCCUUGGAGGGGGACGGAAAGAAGGGACCACAGAUUGGGAGGCUGUGGAAGUGGAGGCAGCAGACAGGGGGCCUGGGUAGCAAUUGGGAAGUGCCACCCUGCCUCACUUCCUCUAGGAAGUCACAUGUGUUGUCCCCAGAAGAGGCUGAUUGUGACACCUCACUUCCCUCCCACCCUUGGAGGGGGACGGAAAGAAGGGACCACAGAUUGGGAGGCUGUGGAAGUGGAGGCAGCAGACAGGGGGCCUGGGUAGCAAUUGGGAAGUGCCACCCUGCCUCGCUUCCUCUAGGAAGUCACAUGUGUUGUCCCCAGAGGAGGCUGAUUGUGACACCUCACUUCCCUCCCACCAGCUGCCGUUGGUAGGAACCCAGAGUGCCAGGGUCCUGGAGAAUCACAAGUGCUGGGAAUCCGGC